GACGAACGCUGGCGGCGUGCUUAAUACAUGCAAGUCGAGCGAGGUCCAUCUGGUGGCAACACCAGUGAAGGCCGAGCGGCGAACGGGUGAGUAACACGUGAGCAACCUGCCCCGAAGUCUGGAAUAACAUCGGGAAACCGGUGCUAAUACCGGAUCGCCCCACCUGACCGCAUGAUCGGGUGAGGAAAGAUUUAUCGCUUCGGGAGGGGCUCGCGGCCUAUCAGCAGUUGGUGGGGUAACGGCCUACCAAGGCGUCGACGGGUAGCUGGUCUGAGAGGACGACCAGCCACACUGGGACUGAGACACGGCCCAGACUCCUACGGGAGGCAGCAGUAGGGAAUCUUGCGCAAUGGGCGAAAGCCUGACGCAGCAACGCCGCGUGGGGGAUGACGGCCU
RNAcentral lists this ribosomal RNA (396 nucleotides) under uncultured bacterium. RNAcentral's name for it is "bacterial SSU rRNA". It matches the Rfam family "Bacterial small subunit ribosomal RNA", at positions 28 to 417 of the family's 1533-position model. The record is from RNAcentral.